Molecule: long non-coding RNA, 273 nt
Organism: Temnothorax curvispinosus
Lineage: Eukaryota; Metazoa; Arthropoda; Insecta; Hymenoptera; Formicidae
Exons: 2
Source: RefSeq, a predicted model, not a curated record
AGAUUAAAAAAGAUAUAGUGUUAAGAGAACAAUAUUAAUCACAAUAAAUUAACAUCUAUUAAAUCCUGCAGUGUCCUGUCUCUACCUACAUCUAUGUAUACAUCAUCCCAGACCAUCUAAAGAGAAAUUAUUUGCUUAAAAUGAAAAUUGUAUAUGUUAAAGAAGUGCAAUGAAGUUUAUCACAACAUAUCGAAAAUAUAAUUAUCCGCUGUCAGUAUCACAUAUACCCAGAUAACCAUAAUUUUGUAUCGAUUUAUAAAUUAAUAUAUAAAU